RNAcentral lists this ribosomal RNA (494 nucleotides) under uncultured bacterium. RNAcentral describes it as "partial 16S ribosomal RNA". It matches the Rfam family "Bacterial small subunit ribosomal RNA", at positions 28 to 507 of the family's 1533-position model. The record is from RNAcentral.
GACGAACGCUGGCGGCGUGCUUAACACAUGCAAGUCGAACGGUGAAGCGCCUUCCUUUUUGGUGGGUGUGGAUGAGUGGCGAACGGGUGAGUAACACGUGAGUAACCUGCCCCCUUCUUCUGGAUAACCGCAUGAAAGUGUGGCUAAUACGGGAUAUUCUGGGUCUGUCGCAUGAUGGGUCUGGGAAAGAUAUUGUUUCGGUGGGGGAUGGGCUCGCGGCCUAUCAGCUUGUUGGUGGGGUGAUGGCCUACCAAGGCGGUGACGGGUAGCCGGCCUGAGAGGGUGGACGGUCCCACUGGGACUGAGGCACGGCCCAGACUCCUACGGGAGGCAGCAGGGGGGAAUAUUGCACAAUGGGCGCAAGCCUGAUGCAGCGACGCCGCGUGAGGGAUGGAGGCCUUCGGGUUGUGAACCUCUUUCGCCAGUGAAGCAGGCCUGCCUCGUUUGUGGGUGGGUUGACGGUAGCUUGAUAAGAAGCGCCGGCUAACUACGUG